GAUGAACGCUGGCUACAGGCUUAACACAUGCAAGUCGAGGGGAAACGGCGUUGAGUGCUUGCACUGAAUGGACGUCGACCGGCGCACGGGUGAGUAACGCGUAUCCAACCUUCCCGUUACUGCGGGAUAACCUGCCGAAAGGCAGACUAAUACCGCAUGUUCUUCGAUGACGGCAUCAGAUUCGAAGCAAAGACUCGUCGGUAACGGAGGGGGAUGCGUCUGAUUAGCUUGUUGGCGGGGCGACGGCCCACCAAGGCGACGAUCAGUAGGGGUUCUGAGAGGAAGGUCCCCCACAUUGGAACUGAGACACGGUCCAAACUCCUACGGGAGGCAGCAGUGAGGAAUAUUGGUCAAUGGGCGAGAGCCUGAACCAGCCAAGUAGCGUGCAGGAUGACGGCCCUAUGGGUUGUAAACUGCUUUUAUGCGGGGAUAAAGUGAGGGACGUGUCCUUCAUUGCAGGUACCGCAUGAAUAAGGACCGGCUAAUUCCGUGCCAGCAGCCGCGGUAAUACGGAAGGUCCGGGCGUUAUCCGGAUUUAUUGGGUUUAAAGGGAGCGUAGGCCGUGGAUUAAGCGUGUUGUGAAAUGCAGGUGCUCAACGUCUGCACUGCAGCGCGAACUGGUUCACUUGAGUGUGCGCAACGCAGGCGGAAUUCGUCGUGUAGCGGUGAAAUGCUUAGAUAUGACGAAGAACUCCGAUUGCGAAGGCAGCUUGCGGGAGCACAACUGACGCUGAAGCUCGAAAGUGCGGGUAUCGAACAGG
RNAcentral lists this ribosomal RNA (761 nucleotides) under uncultured Prevotella sp. Its description in RNAcentral is "bacterial SSU rRNA". It matches the Rfam family "Bacterial small subunit ribosomal RNA", at positions 28 to 776 of the family's 1533-position model. Lineage: Bacteria; Pseudomonadati; Bacteroidota; Bacteroidia; Bacteroidales; Prevotellaceae. The record is from RNAcentral.